GCUGGGGAGUACAAAAGGGGGAGGCUCGCUUGGAGAGCAGGGACAAGAGAAGGCAGAGUGUGAGGCUGGCAAGGAGCAGGAGGAGGGGUGAGGAGAUGGGGGGCAAGAUCUCAGCUAAACAGGACCCAAAAGGAGAGAAAGCAACAAUAAAGGACAGACCUGUGCAAAAGACAGAUGAAUGGACAGAGCCCGGGGAGAGAUGACAGUUCAUCGGGGCAGGGGGUAUAUAUAUAUAUAUAUAUACCAAAAGACAAAGAUGGCUAGGAUAGGGAUUUGAAAGAUAAGGGUAAAAGGAAAGAAAACAGGGAAUAAGUAAGGAGACAAAAUAAGUAAUAAGAGUACAGGUACCAGUUAAAUGCUUCAAAAAUCACCAGGCUGUUAGGCUGAAGAAGCCCCACAGCCAUACCCAGGAGGGGACCAUCAGUAAAGACACAGGCAGGCAAUUUAAGUAGCUAGCUACUGAGGUAAAAAAAAAAAAAAAAAAAAAAAAAAAAAAAAAUGAAAAAAAUGAAAAAAAAAAAGAAGAUGGAAAAGGUGAGAAGCAGGAGAAAGAAAACCCAAAGGAGACACUGGCCCAGAAACCUUUUUAACUUUCUGUAAGAAUCUUCAAGGCCCCAAACUAGGCCAAGAUUCUGACUGACAUUUCUGAGCUCACCAGCUGCUGUUUCCUUGAGAGAAUUCUGACAAGAAGGCAUAGAAAUGCAAGCCAACACUGCCAGCUCUGAAAAAAAAAAAUAAUAAUAAUAACAACCCAUGCUCUAAACACCUCAAUGGGGCCGAAGCCUGCAGGGGAAGGAGGCGCACAGAGGAAGAGGGACCUGCCUGCAACUUUCCCCCAGGCUUGUACAACCGAUACUCAGAGGUACCAAAGGAUCCUUACACCCUGGAGGCUACGGUCACCUCCCAAGGGAGCUGCCCCCUGCUCUGGCUGGUCAAACGGAACCAAGUCCGUCUUCCUGAGAGGUUUGGUCCCCUUCAACCAGCUACAGCAGGGCUGGCAAUACCCAGUCCUUGGAGAAACAGAAGAGAUUCGCCUGAAGCUGAAAUUACUUAUUAAUGCUUCCCUUAAGGAAUGACUCUGAUUUUGUCAUAUACUCUCAUGCUCCUGGGAAGGGAGAAGAGAGGAGCCCUGGGUUCAAAAGCAAAGAGGAGUCUCAUGCUCUGCACAUAGAGGUCCAUGCCCUUGCAACCACAACUAGAACCGCUCCCAUGCUCUUGACACACGCAUUCAGCAAAGAUUUUGAGGAUGGAAUUUGUGCCAGCCAGGGGAAGAGUAUAGGACCUAGAAGACAGGGCUCCUGCUCACAGGGGGCCAACAGUCUAAGAAAUUAGACACAUGAAUAUGGCACAAUUCAAUGGAAUUGCGAGUCAAAGCACAGAUAGUUCCAAAACAUAAUUCUUCUCACAUAGUCCACCAAGUAUGCCUGGCACAUGGCACGCCAUCAAAUCUCUACCCAUCCAUACAGCCCCAAAUACCAUUUUAAGUGAAAAUACCAAGUCAUAGAGGACUGCCUGCAGCAUGGUACUAUUAUAUAAAAAACAAGCAAUAUAUUGUUUAGCAAUAAAUGCAUAAAUGAUAAAACUAUUAAAAAUAACAUUUAAAUUAUUUUUUAAAAAGGAAUUUGGAAUAAUAGUUGCCUCUGAGGUGAAACUAAAGAGAUAAAUUGGGAAAUGGCUUCAGGAAGCUUCAGCAGUAUUGGUAAGGUUCUUUUCCUGAGGUGGAUGGUUAUUUGUGGAAUUGCGAGUCAAAGCACAAAUAUCUAUUCACUAAGCAAUAUGCACAUGACUCAGUUCCCUGAUCUGUGGGAUGGGGAUAAUAAACAUACCACCUACCUCAUAUGGUUUUAUGCGGAAUGAAAGGAAAAUACAUGUAAAGGAGUUAGAAAGCUCUCAAUAAUUGUUAUCGAUUAUUAAGGGGGUUAUCCUGACCUGUCUUUUUUCCAAAAUGUAUCUCUUUGACAGUGCACCUGGGAGUGUACCCAGAACUUAGCUAAAGCUCAUAACAUUUGUUGUUUGAAUUCCAGAAGCAUGCGUGUUUUCACAUGCUGUGCUCUGACAGUGUGGUCUCAAUGCCAAGAGCCCACCAUACCUCCACACAGGGGAUGUGGUGCUUAUCCGUACAUACCUGGGAGUCAGGGAGACCCAGGUUUGGAUCCUGCCCCUCUCACUUUUUAGCUCUGCGACAGCCUCUCUGAACUUUAGUUAACAUUGCAGAAACCUUAGUUUCCUCAUCCAUAAAAUGGGGACAAUGAUACUUAAAGCUGAUUUAAAGAUUUAAAAGGUUAUGGUUACAAAGAGCCAAAUAUAAGCCCUCAAGAAACAGUACCUGUUGUUUUGCUAUUGUACAUGGCAACAGCUCAAGGCUGAUGUUGGGUCCUCAGGCACCUGACAAAGGGAAGAUGAGAUUUUUAAAAUAAAAUAAAAAAGAACUCAAAAAAUAAAUAAAACCUCCUUACAGGAUCUUUUUAUUUUCCAAUUAUUAAUUCUAUUAUCAUGUAGCAUGCAUUCACCCUUACAUGUGUUACUAGUAUGUAAUAAAAUAUACUAUUAAAAACUGCUUCAUACAUGGGACUGAUCUUAAAGAAAUAUCCUGACUGGGAAGCCUUCACUUGUGAGCAGUGCUGAGAUGCUAGUCUGUAACCAUACGUCCUCCUGAGUACAUGAAGGCCACAGAGUGUGUAUUCCAAAGGUGUGGAGUUUAGACAUAAGCACAGGAGGCAGAGUGCCUGGGCUCAAAUCCCAGAAUUCCUACCCACUCCCACCAGCUGCGCCACUUUGGGCAAGCUGCUUGACCUCUCUGGUUAUUUCUUUAUUUGUAGAAUGGAGAUAUUGAUAAUAGCAUCUACCUUGUAGGGUUUUCGUAAGAAUGAAAUAAAAAAUACAUGGAAAUGAAUAAAACUAGUGAUGGGUACAUAAUAUGUUUUUAAGGAUUUUUAUCUUUGAUAAUGUACCUGAAAUGUUCCUGGAACUAAAUUGGUGUUCAAUAAACACUUAUUU
RNAcentral lists this long non-coding RNA (2997 nucleotides) under Canis lupus familiaris (dog). RNAcentral describes it as "lncRNA (ENSCAFG00845008716.1)". The stretch from base 920 to 992 matches the Rfam family "mir-133 microRNA precursor family". The record is from RNAcentral. Lineage: Eukaryota; Metazoa; Chordata; Mammalia; Carnivora; Canidae.